CUUCUCGUAGUUCAGCUGGAUAGAACAUUGGUUUGCGGAACCAAAGGUCGGAGGUUCGAGUCCUCCCGAGAAGGCCA
Molecule: transfer RNA, 77 nt
Filed under: Flavobacteriales bacterium
Lineage: Bacteria; Pseudomonadati; Bacteroidota; Flavobacteriia; Flavobacteriales
Description: tRNA-Arg
Rfam family: tRNA
About the family: Transfer RNA (tRNA) molecules are approximately 80 nucleotides in length. Their secondary structure includes four short double-helical elements and three loops (D, anti-codon, and T loops). Further hydrogen bonds mediate the characteristic L-shaped molecular structure. tRNAs have two regions of fundamental functional importance: the anti-codon, which is responsible for specific mRNA codon recognition, and the 3' end, to which the tRNAs corresponding amino acid is attached (by aminoacyl-tRNA synthetases). tRNAs cope with the degeneracy of the genetic code in two manners: having more than one tRNA (with a specific anti-codon) for a particular amino acid; and 'wobble' base-pairing, i.e. permitting non-standard base-pairing at the 3rd anti-codon position.
Source: RNAcentral